Lolium rigidum is the source of this 249-nucleotide long non-coding RNA. RefSeq lists it as uncharacterized. The record is from RefSeq and is a predicted model, not a curated record. Lineage: Eukaryota; Viridiplantae; Streptophyta; Magnoliopsida; Poales; Poaceae. The transcript has 3 exons.
CCACGGCGUGCGCACUGCUGCUCGGGCAUAGUGCCGUGCGAGCACCCCUGCUCCGGCCUAGGUGCAGGCCGACCCAAGGAAGCUAGCUGUCGCCUGUCUUCAUGGUUAUGAUCCAAUUUGACAUGAAGGCAUCGAGCUGGGUCGACGUUAGACGGAUUCAAGGCUGCCCGCUGUUUAGGAUCGACAGCUUUGUGAGCUCUAUGCUGCCGCAGGGAUCUCGAUGCCGCUGUCCAGGCCCUCGUCAACUUC